AGGUUACUGCUAUCGAGGCUCGACUAAGCCAUGCGAGCCGAAUGUAGCAAUACAUGGCGUACUGCUCGGUAACACGUGGACAACCUACCCUCCGGACGGGUAUAAACCCGGGAAACUGGGUAUAAUCCCCGAUAGAUCUCGGUCGCUGGAAAGCCCCGAGAUCGAAAGCUCCGGCGCCAGAGGAUGGGUCUGCGGCCUAUCAGGUAGUAGUGGGUGUAGCGUACCUACUAGCCUACGACGGGUACGGGUUGUGAGAGCAAGAGCCCGGAGAUGGAUUCUGAGACACGAAUCCAGGCCCUACGGGGUGCAGCAGGCGCGAAAACUUUACAAUGCCGGCAACGGCGAUAAGGGGACCUCGAGUGCCAGGUUACAAAUCUGGCUGUCGUGAUGCCUAAAAAGCAUUGCAUAGCAAGGGCCGGGCAAGACCGGUGCCAGCCGCCGCGGUAACACCGGCGGCUCGAGUGGUAACCGUUAUUAUUGGGUCUAAAGGGUCUGUAGCCGGCCAGAUAAGUCUCUUGAGAAAUCCAGCAGCUCAACUGUUGGGCUUUCAGGAGAUACUGUCUGGCUCGAGGCCGGGAGAGGUGAGAGGUACUUCAGGGGUAGGGGUGAAAUCUUGUAAUCCUUGAAGGACCACCAGUGGCGAAGGCGUCUCACCAGAACGGACCUGACGGCAAGGGACGAAAGCUAGGGGCACGAACCGGAUUAGAUACCCGGGUAGUCCUAGCCGUAAACGAUACUCGCUAGGUGUCGGCCACGGUGCGACCGUUGUCGGUGCCGUAGGGAAGCCGUGAAGCGAGCCACCUGGGAAGUACGGCCGCAAGGCUGAAACUUAAAGGAAUUGGCGGGGG
Molecule: ribosomal RNA, 848 nt
Filed under: uncultured archaeon
Lineage: Archaea
Description: bacterial SSU rRNA
Rfam family: Archaeal small subunit ribosomal RNA
Source: RNAcentral